UCCCAGCAGUCCAAGUCGUGGCCACAUUUAUUAGGUCUAAAACAUUCGUAGCUUGUUUUGUAAGUCUUUUGUGAAAUAUUAUUGCUUAACAAUAAUGCGUGCAAAAGAUACUGCAUUGCUAGAAACCGGGAGACGUAAUGAGUACGACUGAGGUAGCGGUAAAAUGUUUUAAUCUUAGUCGGACUAACAAUGGCGAAGGCACAUUACGAGAACGGAUUUGACGGUGAGGAAUGAAGGCCAGGGGCGCAAAAUG
RNAcentral lists this ribosomal RNA (253 nucleotides) under uncultured archaeon. Its description in RNAcentral is "partial 16S ribosomal RNA". It matches the Rfam family "Archaeal small subunit ribosomal RNA", at positions 474 to 726 of the family's 1478-position model. The record is from RNAcentral.